GACGAACGCUGGCGGCGUGCUUAACACAUGCAAGUCGAACGGAAAGGCCCUGCUUUUGUGGGGUGCUCGAGUGGCGAACGGGUGAGUAACACGUGAGUAACCUGCCCUUUACUUUGGGAUAACUUCAGGAGACUGGGGCUAAUACCGGAUAGGAGCUCCUGCUGCAUGGUGGGGGUUGGAAAGUUUCGGCGGUUGGGGAUGGACUCGCGGCUUAUCAGCUUGUUGGUUGGGUAGUGGCUUACCAAGGCUUUGACGGGUAGCCGGCCUGAGAGGGUGAACGGCGACAUUGGGACUGAGAUACGGCCCAGACUGCUACGGGAGGCAGCAGUGGGGAAUAUUGCACAAUGGGCGGAAGCCUGAUGCAGCAACGCCGCGUGCGGGAUGACGGCCUUCGGGUUGUAAACCGCUUUCGCCUGUGACGAAGCGUGAGUGACGGUAAUGGGUAAAGAAGCACCGGCUAACUACGUG
RNAcentral lists this ribosomal RNA (468 nucleotides) under uncultured bacterium. RNAcentral describes it as "partial 16S ribosomal RNA". It matches the Rfam family "Bacterial small subunit ribosomal RNA", at positions 28 to 507 of the family's 1533-position model. The record is from RNAcentral.